UACGUAGGGACCGAGCGUUGUCCGGAUUCAUUGGGCGUAAAGAGCUCGUAGGUGGCUAUUCAAGUCGAACGUGAAAUCUCGGAGCUCAACUCCGAAACUGCGUUCGAUACUGGGUAGCUAGAGUCUGGUAGGGGGAUCUGGAAUUCCUGGUGUAGCGGUGGAAUGCGCAGAUAUCAGGAGGAACACCGGUGGCGAAGGCGGGAUCCUGGGCCAGUACUGACGCUGAGGAGCGAAAGCGUGGGGAGCAAACAGG
RNAcentral lists this ribosomal RNA (253 nucleotides) under uncultured bacterium. RNAcentral's name for it is "partial 16S ribosomal RNA". It matches the Rfam family "Bacterial small subunit ribosomal RNA", at positions 524 to 776 of the family's 1533-position model. The record is from RNAcentral.